This 253-nucleotide ribosomal RNA is filed under the name uncultured bacterium. RNAcentral describes it as "partial 16S ribosomal RNA". It matches the Rfam family "Bacterial small subunit ribosomal RNA", at positions 524 to 776 of the family's 1533-position model. The record is from RNAcentral.
UACGUAGGGGGCUAGCGUUGUCCGGAAUCAUUGGGCGUAAAGCGCGUGUAGGCGGUCCGGUAAGUCCGCUGUGAAAGUCGGGGGCUCAACCCUCGGAUGCCGGUGGAUACUGUCGGGCUUGAGUACGGAAGAGGCGAGUGGAAUUCCUGGUGUAGCGGUGAAAUGCGCAGAUAUCAGGAGGAACACCAAUGGCGAAGGCGGCUCACUGGCCCGGUACUGACGCUGAGGCGCGAAAGCGUGGGGAGCAAACAGG